UACAGAGGUCCCAAGCGUUGUUCGGAUUCAUUGGGCGUAAAGGGUGCGUAGGUGGCGCGCUAAGUCAGGUGUGAAAUUUCGGAGCUUAACUCCGAAACUGCAUUUGAUACUGGCGUGCUUGAGGACUGGAGAGGGGACUGGAAUUUACGGUGUAGCAGUGAAAUGCGUAGAGAUCGUAAGGAAGACCAGUGGCGAAGGCGGGUCUCUGGACAGUUCCUGACACUGAGGCACGAAGGCCAGGGGAGCAAACGGG
RNAcentral lists this ribosomal RNA (253 nucleotides) under uncultured bacterium. RNAcentral's name for it is "partial 16S ribosomal RNA". It matches the Rfam family "Bacterial small subunit ribosomal RNA", at positions 524 to 776 of the family's 1533-position model. The record is from RNAcentral.